RNAcentral lists this transfer RNA (73 nucleotides) under Podarcis lilfordi (Lilford's wall lizard). RNAcentral describes it as "tRNA.Lys". The stretch from base 5 to 62 matches the Rfam family "tRNA", at positions 9 to 63 of the family's 71-position model. Rfam says of the family: Transfer RNA (tRNA) molecules are approximately 80 nucleotides in length. Their secondary structure includes four short double-helical elements and three loops (D, anti-codon, and T loops). The record is from RNAcentral. Lineage: Eukaryota; Metazoa; Chordata; Lepidosauria; Squamata; Lacertidae.
UGACAGCUGCAGUGGGUAGAGCAUGAGACUCUUAAUCUCAGGAUUGUGGGUUUGAGCCCCACAUCGGGCAAAA